RNAcentral lists this ribosomal RNA (292 nucleotides) under uncultured bacterium. RNAcentral's name for it is "partial 16S ribosomal RNA". The record is from RNAcentral. RNAcentral also lists the same sequence under 1 other name.
GGACUACAAGGGUAUCUAAUCCUGUUUGCUCCCCACGCUUUCGUGCCUGAGCGUCAAUCUCAGCCCAGGGGGCUGCCUUCGCCAUCGGUGUUCCGCCACAUAUCUACGCAUUUCACUGCUACACGUGGCAUUCCACCCCCCUCUGCCAGAUUCAAGUCCCAUAGUUUCCACUGCAGUUCCUAGGUUAAGCCCAGGGCUUUCACAGCGGACUUGCGGGACCGCCUACGCACGCUUUACGCCCAGUAAUUCCGAUUAACGCUCGCACCCUACGUAUUACCGCGGCUGCUGGCAC